CGAAAUUCCUUGUCAGGUAAGUUCUGACCCGCACGAAUGGCGUAACGAUUUGGGCGCUGUCUCAACAGCCCACCCGGCGAAAUUGUAGUACUGGUGAAGAUGCCAGUUACCCGCAACUAGACGGAAAGACCCCAUGGAGCUUUACUGUAGCUUAAUACUGAGGAUUGGUAAUUGAUGUACAGGAUAGGUGGGAGACUUGGAAGUCAGGGCGUCAGCUUUGAUGGAGUCACCCUUGGGAUACCACCCUUCAAUUGCUGGUUUUCUAACCUGCGGCCGUGAAUCCGGUCGGGGGACACUGUCAGGUGGGCAGUUUGACUGGGGCGGUCGCCUCCCAAAGAGUAACGGAGGCGCCCAAAGAUACCCUCAGCUUGGAUGGAAAUCAAGCGCAGAGUGCAAAGGCAUAAGGGUGUUUGACUGCGAGACCUACAAGUCGAGCAGGGACGAAAGUCGGGCUUAGUGAUCCGGCGGUGCUGAAUGGAAAGGCCGUCGCUCAACGGAUAAAAGCUACCCUGGGGAUAACAGGCUGAUCUCCCCCAAGAGUUCACAUCGACGGGGAGGUUUGGCACCUCGAUGUCGGCUCAUCGCAUCCUGGAGCUGAAGUCGGUUCCAAGGGUUGGGCUGUUCGCCCAUUAAAGCGGUACGCGAGCUGGGUUCAGAACGUCGUGAGACAGUUCGGUCCCUAUCUGUCGUGGGCGUAGGAAGUUUGAGAAGAUCUGUCCUCAGUACGAGAGGACCGGGAUGGACAUAUCAAUGGUGCACCAGUUGUCACGCCAGUGGCACAGCUGGGUAGCUAAAUAUGGAAGGGAUAAACGCUGAAGGCAUCUAAGUGUGAAACCCACUUCAAGAUGAGACUUCCCAUUACGCAAGUAAGUAAGACCCCUUAAAGACGAUAAGGUUGAUAGGUCAGGAGUGUAAGCAUGGCGACAUGUUCAGCGGACUGAUACUAAUAGGUCGAGGACUUAACCUA
RNAcentral lists this ribosomal RNA (967 nucleotides) under human gut metagenome. RNAcentral describes it as "bacterial LSU rRNA". It matches the Rfam family "Bacterial large subunit ribosomal RNA", at positions 1960 to 2925 of the family's 2925-position model. The record is from RNAcentral.